Molecule: ribosomal RNA, 310 nt
Filed under: uncultured bacterium
Lineage: Bacteria
Description: partial 16S ribosomal RNA
Rfam family: Bacterial small subunit ribosomal RNA
Source: RNAcentral
AAGAGACAGCAGUAGCCGCGGGAAUACAGAGGGUGCGAGCGUUAAUCGGAUUUACUGGGCGUAAAGCGUGCGUAGGCGGCUUCUUAAGUCGGAUGUGAAAUCCCUGAGCUUAACUUAGGAAUUGCAUUCGAUACUGGGAAGCUAGAGUAUGGGAGAGGAUGGUAGAAUUCCAGGUGUAGCGGUGAAAUGCGUAGAGAUCUGGAGGAAUACCGAUGGCGAAGGCAGCCAUCUGGCCUAAUACUGACGCUGAGGUACGAAAGCAUGGGGAGCAAACAGGAUUAGAGACCCGAGUAGUCCCUGUCUCUUAUAC